CUUGAAAGAUAAAGAUAUGUUGCAAUCUUGACUGCAGAACAUGGGACUAGGGUCAAAGUUUGUACCAAAAAAUCAUUCCUUAUUAUGUUCAGAUCAUUUCGAAGGAAAAUGCUUUCAAUAAGGUACAAAUAAUAGAUGUCUUCGCAUCGGAAGUAUUCCGACAUUAUUUGGAGAAUACAAAUCGGUUUGUGUUUACUGUCACGCAGUGGAAGGACAUGAUGAAAAACGAUCAUUCCGCAAAUUUCCCUUGGACAAUCGAAAAUUGCUGAAGAAAUGGGUAGCUGCAAUGAAGUUGACAGAUUUUCUUCCAACUGGGAAGAGUUGGUUGUGUGGUGAUCAUUUCGAUGAAAAAUGUUUCCGAUCGUCAGGGCGAGGUUUAGUACUUAAAUGCGGUGCCAACUUUGUUUUCAUCUGAAGACAGUGGAGGCACUUCUGUAGUACAGCAAGAGAACACAAGCAAUACAACUGACGAAGUAGAUAAUACUAAUAGUAAUCAAUCAACUCGGCAACACGGUGUAAAGCAUAUUUCAACAGAGUCUUCUGCUCCUCCUUCUAAGAUUCGAAGAACUAGCAGUCCUCGUACUAGCCCAUCAAUUCAUUCGAGGAACGAAGCUGUGAUGGAAUUACAAAGAUGCCCGAAACACCAAGAAGUAUUCCGAAAAGAAUUUUUCAAACGGAGCACGAUCACCAGUAUGAAGUAACUCCAAAGAUGAUGAGAAAAAGAUUUAUCCAACAAUAGCAGAGAAUGCGAAUUUUAAUGAAACAGUCUCACGUACAGAAACAGCAUAUUUCACGUUUGAAGAAGAAAGUCACCUCCUUGAAGAAAAUUAUACUAUAAAAUAACAUUUAUACACAAGCAUUGUCGGAGAACAAGGAUCUAUUGAUACAUCAAGAGACCUAGCAGCAUCGUAAUGCACAAAAUUUUUUGAAGUAUGCGCUACAGUCUUUUAUACAGUAAGCUGGUUGAA
This 968-nucleotide long non-coding RNA is filed under the name Neodiprion lecontei (redheaded pine sawfly). Its description in RNAcentral is "uncharacterized LOC124295311". Lineage: Eukaryota; Metazoa; Arthropoda; Insecta; Hymenoptera; Diprionidae. The record is from RNAcentral.